CAUUUAGAAAUAAGAGAUGACAUUUUGCAUAAAUUAAAUCUAGGGUUAAUAUAGUAAAGUCACACGAAAAAAUUAGGUUAAAUCUAGGGUUAAUAUUGCGUCACGGGUUAACAUUUAAAAAUAAGAGAUAAGAGAUGACAUUUUGCAUAAAUUAAAUCUAGGAUUAAUAUAGUAAAGUCACACGAAAAAAUUAGGUUAAAUCUAGGGUUAAUAUUGCGUCACGGGUUAACGUUUAUAAAUAAGAGAUGACAUUUUGCAUAAAUUAAAUCUAGGGUUAAUAUAAUUUGUUUAGUAAAAUUAAGG
RNAcentral lists this long non-coding RNA (303 nucleotides) under Medicago truncatula (barrel medic). Its description in RNAcentral is "long non-coding RNA (MTRU_LNC005462)". The record is from RNAcentral. Lineage: Eukaryota; Viridiplantae; Streptophyta; Magnoliopsida; Fabales; Fabaceae.